RNAcentral lists this ribosomal RNA (158 nucleotides) under uncultured bacterium. RNAcentral describes it as "partial 16S ribosomal RNA". It matches the Rfam family "Bacterial small subunit ribosomal RNA", at positions 1335 to 1500 of the family's 1533-position model. The record is from RNAcentral.
CUAGUAAUCGCGCAUCAGCCAUGGCGCGGUGAAUACGUUCCCGGGCCUUGUACACACCGCCCGUCAAGCCAUGGAAGCCGGGGGUGCCUGAAGUGCGUGACCGCAAGGAGCGCCCUAAGGUAAAACCGGUGACUGGGGCUAAGUCGUAACAAGGUACC